This 425-nucleotide ribosomal RNA is filed under the name uncultured bacterium. RNAcentral's name for it is "partial 16S ribosomal RNA". It matches the Rfam family "Bacterial small subunit ribosomal RNA", at positions 354 to 796 of the family's 1533-position model. The record is from RNAcentral.
GUGGGGAAUCUUAGACAAUGGGGGAAACCCUGAUCUAGCCAUGCCGCGUGAGCGAUGAAGGCCUUAGGGUUGUAAAGCUCUUUCAGCUGGGAAGAUAAUGACGGUACCAGCAGAAGAAGCCCCGGCUAACUCCGUGCCAGCAGCCGCGGUAAUACGGAGGGGGCUAGCGUUGUUCGGAAUUACUGGGCGUAAAGCGCGCGUAGGCGGACCAGAAAGUUGGAGGUGAAAUCCCAGGGCUCAACCUUGGAACUGCCUUCAAAACUCCUGGUCUGGAGUUCGAGAGAGGUGAGUGGAAUUCCGAGUGUAGAGGUGAAAUGCGUAGAUAUCGGGAGGAACACCAGUGGCGAAGGCGGGUUCCUGGCCCAUUACUGACGCUGAGGUGCGAAAGCCGGGGGAGCGAACGGGAUUAGAAACCCGUGUAGUCC